Molecule: ribosomal RNA, 468 nt
Filed under: uncultured bacterium
Lineage: Bacteria
Description: partial 16S ribosomal RNA
Rfam family: Bacterial small subunit ribosomal RNA
Source: RNAcentral
GACGAACGCUGGCGGCGUGCUUAACACAUGCAAGUCGAACGGAAAGGCCCUGCUUUUGUGGGGUGCUCGAGUGGCGAACGGGUGAGUAACACGUGAGUAACCUGCCCUUGACUUUGGGAUAACUUCAGGAAACUGGGGAUAAUACCGGAUAGGAGCUCCUGCUGCAUGGUGGGGGUUGGAAAGUGUCGGCGGUUGGGGAUGGACUCGCGGCUUAUCAGCUUGUUGGUGGGGUAGUGGCUUACCAAGGCUUUGACGGGUAGCCGGCCUGAGAGGGUGACCGGCCACAUUGGGACUGAGAUACGGCCCAGACUCCUACGGGAGGCGGCAGUGGGGAAUAUUGCACAAUGGGCGGAAGCCUGAUGCAGCAACGCCGCGUGCGGGAUGACGGCCUUCGGGUUGUAAACCGCUUUCGCCUGUGGCGAAGCGUGAGUGACGGUAAUGGGUAAAGAAGCACCGGCUAACUACGUG